This 789-nucleotide ribosomal RNA is filed under the name uncultured Pelagibacteraceae bacterium. RNAcentral's name for it is "bacterial SSU rRNA". It matches the Rfam family "Bacterial small subunit ribosomal RNA", at positions 40 to 877 of the family's 1533-position model. Lineage: Bacteria; Pseudomonadati; Pseudomonadota; Alphaproteobacteria; Candidatus Pelagibacterales; Candidatus Pelagibacteraceae. The record is from RNAcentral.
CGGCACGCCUAACACAUGCAAGUCGAACGCAGUAGCAAUACUGAGUGGCAAACGGGUGAGUAUAAUGUGGGAAUCUGCCUUUUGGUUUGGAAUAACACGGGGAAACUUUUGCUAAUACCGAAUAAGCCCUUACGGGGAAAGUUUUAACGCCGAAAGAUGAGCCCGCACUUGAUUAGCUAGUUGGUAAGGUAAAGGCUUACCAAGGCAACGAUCAAUAGCUGUUCUUAGAGGAAGACCAGCCACAUUGGGACUGAGACACGGCCCAGACUCCUACGGGAGGCAGCAGUGGGGAAUCUUGCACAAUGGGGGAAACCCUGAUGCAGCGAUGCCGCGUGAGUGAAGAAGGCCCUUGGGUUGUAAAACUCUUUCGUCGGGGAAGAAAAUGACUGUACCCGAAUAAGAAGGUCCGGCUAACUUCGUGCCAGCAGCCGCGGUAAUACGAAGGGACCUAGCGUAGUUCGGAAUUACUGGGCUUAAAGAGCUCGUAGGUGGUUAAAAAAGUUGAUGGUGAAAUCCCAAGGCUCAACCUUGGAACUGCCAUCAAAACUUUUUAGCUAGAGUGUGAUAGAGGUAAGUGGAAUUUCUAGUGUAGAGGUGAAAUUCGUAGAUAUUAGAAAGAACACCAAAUGCGAAGGCAACUUACUGGGUCACUACUGACACUGAGGAGCGAAAGCAUGGGUAGCGAAGAGGAUUAGAUACCCUCGUAGUCCAUGCCGUAAACGAUGUGUGCUAGACGUUGGAAAUUUAUUUUUCAGUGUCGCAGCGAAAGCAUUAAGCACACCGCCUGGG